Molecule: transfer RNA, 75 nt
Filed under: Bacillota bacterium
Lineage: Bacteria; Bacillati; Bacillota
Description: Firmicutes bacterium (anaerobic digester metagenome) tRNA-Thr
Rfam family: tRNA
About the family: Transfer RNA (tRNA) molecules are approximately 80 nucleotides in length. Their secondary structure includes four short double-helical elements and three loops (D, anti-codon, and T loops).
Source: RNAcentral
GCCGACAUAGCUCAAUGGCAGAGCAGCGCAUUCGUAAUGCGCAGGUUAUGGGUUCAAGUCCCAUUGUCGGCUCCA